GACGAACGCUGGCGGCGUGCCUAAUACAUGCAAGUUGAGCGAUGAAGAUUGGUGCAUGCACCAACUUGCAGUGCAGCGAACGGGUGAGUAACGCGCGGGGAAUCGGCCUUUGAGCGGGGGACAGCAUUGGGAGACGAAUGCCAAUACUGCAUAAUCACUUUAAACAUACGUUUUAAGUUUGAAAGAUGCAAUUGCAUCACUCAAAGAUGAUCCCGCGUUGUAUUAGCUAGUUGGUGAGGUAAAGGCUCACCAAGGCGAUGAUGCAUAGCCGACCUGAGAGGGUGGUCGGCCGGUGCGGGACUGAGACACGGCCCGAACGCCUGCGGGGGGCCGCAGUAGGGAAUCGUCGGCAAUGGACGAAAGUCUGACCGAGCGACGCCGCGGGAGUGAAGGAGGAGUUCGGCUCGUUACACUCUGUUGGUAGAGAAGAACGAUGGUGGGAUUGGAGCGCUCAUCAAGUGACGGUAGCUGCCCAGAAAGGGACGGCCAACUACGUG
This 497-nucleotide ribosomal RNA is filed under the name uncultured bacterium. RNAcentral describes it as "partial 16S ribosomal RNA". It matches the Rfam family "Bacterial small subunit ribosomal RNA", at positions 28 to 507 of the family's 1533-position model. The record is from RNAcentral.